RNAcentral lists this ribosomal RNA (214 nucleotides) under Campeiostachys nutans. RNAcentral describes it as "Elymus nutans partial small subunit ribosomal RNA". The stretch from base 46 to 214 matches the Rfam family "Eukaryotic small subunit ribosomal RNA", at positions 693 to 864 of the family's 1831-position model. The record is from RNAcentral. Lineage: Eukaryota; Viridiplantae; Streptophyta; Magnoliopsida; Poales; Poaceae.
GGACCAUCAUGUCGGUCGUGCCUCGGUACGUACUGGUAUUGUUGGUUUCUCUCUUCUGACGAACCAUGAUGUCAUUUAUUUGGUGUUGUGGGGAAUCAGGACUGUUACUUUGAAAAAAUUAGAGUGUUUAAAGCAGGCUCACGCUAGAAUACAUUAGCAUGGAAUAAUGAAAUAGGACGUUUGAUUCUAUUUUGUUGGUUUUGGGAACCAAGUC